RNAcentral lists this ribosomal RNA (253 nucleotides) under uncultured bacterium. RNAcentral's name for it is "partial 16S ribosomal RNA". It matches the Rfam family "Bacterial small subunit ribosomal RNA", at positions 524 to 776 of the family's 1533-position model. The record is from RNAcentral.
UACAGAGGUCCCAAGCGUUGUUCGGAUUCACUGGGCGUAAAGGGUGCGUAGGCGGUCGGGUAAGUCUGAUGUGAAAUCUCACAGCUUAACUGUGAAACUGCAUUGGAUACUAUCCGGCUCGAGGAAUGGAGGGGAGACUGGAAUACCUGGUGUAGAGGUGAAAUUCGUAGAUAUCAGGUGGAACACCAGUGGCGAAGGCGGCCUUCUGGACGGUAACUGACGCUGAGACGCGAAAGCGUGGGGAGCAAACAGG